Oenanthe melanoleuca is the source of this 350-nucleotide long non-coding RNA. RefSeq lists it as uncharacterized. The transcript has 3 exons. The record is from RefSeq and is a predicted model, not a curated record. Lineage: Eukaryota; Metazoa; Chordata; Aves; Passeriformes; Muscicapidae.
GCCCAGACCCUCGGCCUCGCUGGUGCCCAGAGCACCCAGCUCCUGGUGGAGCCUCCCUGGACGCCGGCGGUGCUGUGGGACCGGGUGACACUGACCUGCCAGGGCUCGGGGACCGCCGGUGCCACCUCCUGGUACAAGGGUGGGUGGCUCUGGCGGAAGAAGGGACCCGAGCGCUUCACUGUCACCGAGAGUGGAACAUAGACGUGUGGCAGACCUGGCACUGGGCUCAGCCCCUCUGUGAGGGUGUUAAAUGAGCGCCUUGUGCUGCAGCUGCCGGCACGGGCGCUGCUGGAGGGGGACACGGUGACACUGCGCUGCCAGGGCUGGCAGGAUGGCACGGUCACUGGAGU